GAUGAACGCUGGCGGCGUGCCUAAUACAUGCAAGUCGAGCGAACAGACGAGGAGCUUGCUCCUCUGACGUUAGCGGCGGACGGGUGAGUAACACGUGGAUAACCUACCUAUAAGACUGGGAUAACUUCGGGAAACCGGAGCUAAUACCGGAUAAUAUAUUGAACCGCAUGGUUCAAUAGUGAAAGACGGUUUUGCUGUCACUUAUAGCUGGAUCCGCGCCGCAUUAGCUAGUUGGUAAGGUAACGGCUUACCAAGGCGACGAUGCGUAGCCGACCUGAGAGGGUGAUCGGCCACACGGGAACGGAGACACGGUCCAGACUCCUACGGGAGGCAGCAGUAGGGAAUCGUCCGCAAUGGGCGAAAGCCUGACGGAGCAACGCCGCGUGAGUGAUGAAGGUCUUCGGAUCGUAAAACUCUGUUAUUAGGGAAGAACAAAUGUGUAAGUAACUAUGCACGGCUUGACGGUACCUAAUCAGAAAGCCACGGCUAACUACGUG
This 497-nucleotide ribosomal RNA is filed under the name uncultured bacterium. RNAcentral's name for it is "partial 16S ribosomal RNA". It matches the Rfam family "Bacterial small subunit ribosomal RNA", at positions 28 to 507 of the family's 1533-position model. The record is from RNAcentral.